GGUACCUUCCGAUCAUGCCUAGUUUCAGGCAUCUGGGAGUUGUGGUAAGUUUUUCUAGGGGUCUAUGUCUUCGGCUUUUGGAAAUUCAGUUUGCGCUCUGAUUCGUUUCUGGUUUUGUGUUUUCGUAUUGCGUAGAUACAGUUUCAGGUUUUGAUUUGAACGAUCAUCAAAGACAUUGCUUUCGGUCCUUUUCUUUCUUGCAGCAUAUCUAGGGAUUUUGUUUGCGCUCUGAUUCUUUUAUUAGUUGAUCUGCUUAUGUUUGCGAUAUGGCGAUUUCGUGUUGUGUAGAUACAAUUUCAAGCUGAUCCUACACAACUUCAAGCUGAUUUUGAAGGAUCAUCAGAGAUUCAUAAUUUGGAAUAUGAAUUCAAGUUGGUGUGGGUUACUUUUCCCGUGAAUUUCUUUGAAAUCUUCGAGUUGUGCUUUAGAUUGGCUUCUAAAUUUCGAUUUAGGAUAUUGGAUUUUUUGGUUGGAUGAUGCAGGAAUUCGAGAUUUUCUUUUUGAAAUAUGGUUUUUGGAUUUUUCAUAGAAGAUUACUCGCUCUAAUAUAUGUGCCUUCGGUGAGGUGUUUUGUUGGAUUCUGGUAACUCUUGUCCCUGACAAUUAUUAUCCAAUUUUUCCCUAAACCCUAAAUUGCAGUUUAUGAAUUUUUUGUACAAGAAGUUUUACGGUAAAAAUUCCACGGGAUGAUGCAUUGAAGUCGGUAAUAAGCUAUCUGUUCUAUUUGAUUUAGGGUUUAUAGUAUAUAUUGGGUUUUGUCCUGGAUUUUUUAGGCUUUGAUCAUGUGUUCUUUAUAUAUUCAGGUUCAGGUAUAAAGAGUGUAAUUGGUUGUGUGGGCUAGUAAGUUUUUCGUUUAUUAAUUUGAUUGAUGAUUGAUUCAAUAUGGGGACGGAGGGCGGAAUGCUUAGGAAUUUGAGAUCAGUUAUGCCUGGUUUGAAACAUAUUUUUUUCACAUGUUUGCAUCUUAAUUGUUGAGUCAUUGAUAUAUUUUCUGUCUCUUUUCAAUACUGUUGGUAUCUUUAGAGUUCUACAUUUUGAAAGAUUGCGGUACCUGCUGUUGAACUGGUCAGAUCUAUUUGUUUGUUUGUCCUUUUUUGGUUACUUUUAAUUAAUUUUAGUGAGUGGACGAGAGGUACAGUCACCAAAUCUCUUCUGGAUUUUUGUUAGCAAUUUGUGUCUGCAGUACAUAUAGAAUGUUGCUACACAAAACAUGGAUGGUGAAACGUUGAAAGGUUGUAGAGUUGCAUGGCUACAGGACUGUUGUAAGUUUUUUUCUGCAUUAAUAUUCAGUAUUAUGAAUAUGCGUGCUAAAAAAGAGAGUUGUUCUAUAUUUGUAAGGUAUUUUUUUAUGUAAUAGUAGAUAAUUUGUUCUCUCGAAGUCGUCCAUGCAGGUAGUCUUGUAGGUGAUUUUUUAAGAGGAAAACGCUUUGCUCAUCAAAAGAUUCAGAUUCAGGCUUACUUCCAAUUUAUUAUUAUUAUUAUUUAUUAUUCAAGUAUUGUUUUUGAAGAUUUGGUGGCAUUUAUUUUUAAAUAUUUUUUUUUUGAGUGUUUUUAUUGGGAUUUCUACUUUUCUUUUCAGUUUUUAUUUUUAGUGUUGCGCCAGACUUAAAACCUUCCAUCUGUUGUGUCCUGGACCAAGCUACUCUUACACCAGUUGUACUUGGUGGAAAGGUUAGUGCCUUGUUUGCCAGCAAUUUUUUUUAAGGCAAAUCUAAGCACAUGUUUGUUGCAGAUGAAAACAUAUGGGUUUUGCUGGUAAUUUUUAUUGAGCUGGUAUAUUGGUUUUCAAUAGCACGGGGGUUUUGCAACAUAUCUGCCUGUGUGGAUGAGCUUUCUUGGAGAGUUGCGGGAACUACGACAAUGAUUUUUUCAACUGUUGGCGUAACACUCAUAAAAAUUUGAUGUGACUUAUUAAUAUUGUUUUUUCAUAAACUAUUUCGAUUUUAUUCACUAGUUGCUAGUGAAUUAUGAUGUUGUUCACUUGCACUGGUUAUGCAACUAGGGAACGACUCUGAUCUAUAUUUUGGGCACUGAAUGCUAAGGAUUAGAAGAAGAAUAUCAAGAUGAAUGGCAAAUGUGAUUUCGUUUGGGAUGACUUACGUCACACGGUGCUGGUGCUGCUUGUCGUAACUUUUAAUUUGAUGUACGCUUAUGAUUAGCCUUGUUUGUUUAUUAUUUGAUUUUAAGGUUUUUUAAGUGUUUGGGAUUCACAAAUUUGUAUUAUUGCUUGGCAGAUUGAAGUACAGAAAUGCUGUAAAUUUUGAAUUAGUUAUGCCUGGUUUGCGUCUUCUCCUCCUAUGUUUGCACCUCAAAAUUAACACUUCCUCCUCUUUUGCAACCCUGCUCAUAACUUUUUUAUUUUUCAUGUUGUUCACAUUUUUUUUUUUACUACUAGGUGUUUGUCUUUGAAGAACAUAGAACAUGCAGCUGUACCUAUUGAUACACUGGUAGCCGUAUAUGCUAAUUCACUACAUUGUUUUUUUUUUAAUUUUUGGGGACCCCUUACCCCCUACUUCCUUCUCUCUUCUCUUGGUUUUAUUAGGCAGAUAGAUGUACUCCCAUCCACACUUGCACAAAAUUUUCUAAGCAACUUGCCAAAGGUAUGCAUAAUUAUAUCCCAUUCUGAUCAUGGAUGGCGAAUCAUUGUGUAGAUACAAUUUCUGGCUGAUUUUGAAGGAUCAUCAAAGAUAUCCUAAUUUGGAAUAUGAAUUCGAGUUGGUAUGGGUUACUUUUCCCGUGAAAUUCUUUGAAAAUUUUCUAGUUGUGCUGUAUUGGUUUGUAAAUUUCAAUUUAGGAUAUUGGAUUUUUUGGUUGGAUGUUGCAGGAGUUCGAGAUUUUCUUUUUGAAAUGUGGCUUUUGGAUAUUUCAUGGAAGAUUACUCGCUCUAAUUUGUUCUGUUGGAUUCUGGUCACUCUUGUCCCUUAUUAUCCAAAAUUUUCCUAAACCCUAAAUUGCAGUUUGUGAAUUAUUCUUAUAAGAAGCUUUACGUAAAAAUUCCAUGGGAUGUUGUAUUCAAGUUGGUAAUAAGCUGGGUCUAUGGCAUAUAUUGGGUUUUGUCCUGGAUUUUUAGGCUUUGACCAUUUGUUCUUUCUAUAUUAAGGUUCAGGUAUAAAGAGUGUAAUUGGUUGUGGGUUAGUAUGUUUUCCGUUUAUUAGGUUCAGGUAUAAAGACGGUAAUUGGUUGCGAGUUAGUAAGUUUUCUGUUUAUUAGUUUGAUUGAUGAUUGAUUCAAUAGAGGGAUGGAGGAUGGAAUGCUUGGGAAUUUGAGAUCAGUUAUGCCUGGUUUGAAACAUCUUUUUUCACAUGUUUGCAUCUCAAUUGUUGAGUCAUUGAUAUAUUUCCAGUCUCUUUUCAAUGCUGUUAGUAACUUUUAUCUUACUGUUAGAUGUCUACAUUUUAAAGGAUUGCAGUACCUGCUGUUGAACUGGUCAGAUCUAUUUGUUUAUUUGUCCUUUUUUGGGUUUCCCCUGCCCCAUGUUCUUUUAAUUACUUGUAAUUAAUUUUAGUGAGUGGAUGAGAGGUACAGUCACCCAAUCUCUUCUGGUAUUUUGUUAGCAAUUUGUCUGAGGUGCAUAGAAUGUUGCUACACAACAUGGAUGGUGAAACAUUAAUGGUUGUAGAGUUGCAUGGCUAUGGGACUCUUGUAGUUUUGUAAGUGAUUCUUAAAGAGGAAAACGCCCUUUGCUUAUCAAAAGAUUGAGGCUUACUUCCAAUUUAUUAUUUAUUAUUCAAGUAUCUUUUUUGAAGAGUUGUUGGCAUUUAUUUAAAAAAAAAUAGAAUUUUUGGUGUUUUGAUUUGGAAGUUCUACUUUUCCUUUCAAUUUUUAUUUUCAGUGUUGCACCAGACUCAAUUCCUUCCAUCUGUUGUGUCCUGCACUAAGUUCUGCUCUUACACCAGUAGUACCUAGGGGGGUGGGGGGUGAAACCUUACAAUAAUAUGAUUAUAUGCUUUGGAUGUGAUAUUUUGUUUUAUUGGUUUUUUAGCCUCUUUGUUUUUUUUUUUUGGAGGGGGGGGGGGGGCGCAAAUUUU
Molecule: non-coding RNA, 4028 nt
Organism: Camellia sinensis
Lineage: Eukaryota; Viridiplantae; Streptophyta; Magnoliopsida; Ericales; Theaceae
Source: RefSeq, a predicted model, not a curated record